AUAUACCUCCUGGUCAAGUCAGCCCAGCUUCGCUCCUUCAACACAGAGUGGUGUCUUACAUGCUAAUACAGAAAACUGCUGCAGACAUCAACCACGCAAGUGAGCAAAUCAAAAAAGGUGUACUGCGUAUUCCAAAGGAGUCGGCCCCAGUCUCUUCACCUGUAUCAACUUCGUCACAAGGCUGCCUGCCUCCAAUUCCUUUGCAAAAACUUACCUGAUAUUCCUGCACCAAGAAUUCUUCACUGGGAUGAUCAUGCUUUUAUUACACAGGAAUUUAUUGAUGAAGAGCGCCUAAGCAUUGCCUUGCCUUGCCACGGCUCUCUGAAGAUCAAAAGGCAACAAUUACUUGGGUAUUGCCUGCAUUAUUGCCA
RNAcentral lists this small RNA (371 nucleotides) under Histoplasma capsulatum var. duboisii H88. Its description in RNAcentral is "Histoplasma capsulatum H88 hypothetical RNA". The record is from RNAcentral. Lineage: Eukaryota; Fungi; Ascomycota; Eurotiomycetes; Onygenales; Ajellomycetaceae.